This 34450-nucleotide long non-coding RNA is filed under the name Fragaria vesca (wild strawberry). RNAcentral describes it as "long non-coding RNA (FVES_LNC000046)". The record is from RNAcentral. Lineage: Eukaryota; Viridiplantae; Streptophyta; Magnoliopsida; Rosales; Rosaceae.
ACCACCACCCACUCCUCCGCCUCUUCUCCACCCGAACCCGAACCCGAAACCCAAGCCCAAUUCCCUCUCUUUAACCCGACGCUCCCUCCUCCUCUCCUCCACCUCACUCAUCCUCCCUUCCUCCGCCGCCUCCGCCUCCGUGCCGCCGCCGGACACCACCGUCACCGACCGCGUAUUCAUGGACUUCAACCUCUGCCCCACCUACUUCCGCUGGUCCUCCGAGCAACCCGUCCUCUGCCCCGACCCGGUUUAUCUGGGCCGGGUCGUCCUCGGCCUCUACGGCCACCUCGUCCCCGUCACCGUCGCCAACUUCAAGGCCAUGGUCACCUCCGCCGCCUACAAGGGCACAACCGUCCAUAAACUCUUCCCCGGUCAAUUCUUCCUCGCCGGCCACCAGGGCGAUAAACCCGGCGACGUGCGGCGGCCUAUUGGCCUCAUCGCCCGGAACACCGAGACUGUUGAGUCCAAGGCGUUUGAGUUGACUCACUCCAGACCGGGGCUCCUCUCGCUUAGCUUAUCGGAAAAUGACGACGAUGAUGACAUCAAGCUUGACCCGGAUUACCGGAAUGUUGAGUUCUCCAUCACUACUGGCCCCGGCCCAUGUCCUCAGCUCGAUCACAAGAACAUUGUUUUCGGCUCAGUACUUGAAGGUAAUUUGUUACAUUAAUGAAUGGAUGCAAGUUAUAAUCCUCAAUUUUAGUAACUGAUUUAGGAUAUGUUAAUGUAUCGGUAAUGUUUGACUAACUUGAAUUAUAUGUUCUUGAUUUUUGGGUGUGUGAAGGUAUGGAUGUUGUGACGGCUAUAGCAGCUAUACCAACGUACAGACCGUCGGAGAGAAUACAGCAGUUCAACGAUUUUGCAACGUUUCUCGGAGACGAUAGAGCAAUGCAGGCACGGGCGCUGUGGAAUAAGCCGCUCAAGACUGUGUAUAUCAGUGACUGUGGUGAGCUCAAAGUUACAAAGCCUUCCUUUUCUCCUCCUAGUCUUCCUUGACAAUUUAGUAAGUUAUGUACAUUCAACAUUGCAUAUAAUGUAAAUGUUUGAAAUUGUUGCUAUUGCUCCCUGUAUCACACUGAUCACUGUGUUUCAUGAGAGGAUUCUUGAAUAUUGGAGACUGUAAAUCUUGUAUCGGAAAUGAAAAUUUUGUUUUAUACACAGUUCAAGUUGUUUGACAUGCUUCAUACAUCUUAUGCUUUUGAGCAAGUACUGGCACUGUUAACUUUUCGAGCAGAAAUCUAACUCAGUCUAAUCCUCUCGAACAUACAGAACAUUACAUGUAUUACCAAGUUCAUAAUCUGUGUCACAAUGUUAGAUAGACUGAUAGGAAAAACUUUCAGAAAUUUGUGCAUGCUUUAGAAUGUAAACUGAUCGUUGUCAAAACUCGUUGUCUUUCGUUAUGAUCUUUCUUCUGUUAAAAAAUUUCUAGUUUGAUCGAGGUUCUCCUCAAUAUGAGAUAGGUUGCUGCUAUAGUCAGAAUUCCAACAGGGUUGCACUUUCAGAUAUAGCAUUUUGGCUGUCUGCAUUAUCCUUCGUCACUGAUCUGCCGAUUAAUGCAUACAUCCUACACCCUGCACCUAUUCUAUUCACAUUGACACAAUCUAUGCACAAUCUACCGGACCCAACCACAAUAUCAGUACCAGAUUCACUGAUUCAGCUACUGAAUGUGAUAUGAUCAUAGGGAGCAUCUGAACAGUCCUAAGCUUUUGUAUGCCCCAGAAGAUUGCUUGAAGCGUGUAAGGUGCGCGGCUGGUUUAUGUGCGCGCAGCUGGUUUAUGUGCCAUAUAGCCAUGUUUGGGACCAAUGUAUCAUGAUUGAGCCGAAGGGUGUGCUGCCUUUACCGGACCGGCAAACUGACCAUGUCAUAACACGGUAACAGUUUGCUACUUUGCUCCAAGGGUGGCUUUGUGCCUCAAGCUUUUAGUUUUAAUUAUUUCUGUAAAUAAUAUGCACUGCUUCCUCUCCUGAUAAGAUCCCACGUUCAUAUCUUUGGGCCUUCCUGUCAUGGGCUCGUAUCAAAACCAAGCCGCUGUGGGCUUUAACUCAGAUCCUCUCUUCCAUCUUUGGGUCUCUUUGAAGCGGAGCCCAACCUUUGUAGAAUUGUAGAGAGUAGACCCCAAAUGACGGAUACGUGGUUUAGCAGAGACCCUGGGGUGGUGGGACCCACAACCUUUGCAGGCGCGCGUGAAAGGUCAGCCGCCAGCCGCGCCUCUGUGAGACCAAUGUUACGACUGACUGCAGAGGAACAGCGGUGGUGGGGGCCCUAGCUGCUUUUCUCACAGCUGUACGAACAGGAUUCUCUGACAUGUUGAGGCGUGGUUUUCCAAGUGGUCCAUGAAACUAGGGGCCGGCACGUGUCUCCGGUACGGUGUCGACGUCGCUGUGGAGUGUAGGGCCGCGACUGACGAGAAAGAACACAGGAAAACCAGAUAGGACCUGGAAAGUGGAAACCAUUCGUUGAUCGGAGAGUUUGGUGUUAACUGUAUUCGUCUUCGUCCCUGUGCUGUGAUCAGAGUACCAUCCAUAAAUACCUCUAACGACUUCAGAACCCUAUGUCAUUCAAAUCUAACGCCACCCAUCACUUCAAUAGUUGAUGUCGAAGAUUAACCUUGCUUAGCAAACCCCCCUAACCUAACUAACGAAACCCUGAAGUGCUGCUCUUCUGUCCUUCCAGAUUGGCACGUACAGUGUAGAUUUGUUAUGAUUGUAGAUGGGGGAUGGCACUUUGUCUGGUUCUAUAAAGCCCUCUGUUGCUUCAGCGUAUCACAAGGGUUAAAGCACAAAAGUUGUUCCUCCUUUCUUUUUCUUUCACUUUUCUUCUCCAGCACUUCUCUUUAUCUCUUCCAACGAUUUUAAAAUUGCUUCCCAAUGUCUACUACUGUCACAGCUUCCUGCAUAUACCAAAGGGUGAAAUGUCGUCUCUCUGAAUCAUAAUAGAAACUUCCUGCAACAAUACAAACAUCUAUAUCGUGUUGUCCGAUACCAUUCAUAUUGAGACACAUUUGGUUCCACUGUGCACGUCUUGCCCUUUCUAGCUUGCCAGUAGCCACCACUUGCACAGCUCCUGCAUUAUCCUCAUCAUCCAUCCCAUCUUCUUUUUUACAAUCUAAAAGCGACAUGCAUCUAAUGAGGAAAACAUGUAAAAACUCCAACUCUUGGGGCAAUUAGUUCCCCUCACGGGUUCUCUAAUUAACCUCCAUGUUUGAGACAUUAGACAUCUUAAAUAUAGAGUCGUCGAGUCUAUAUAAAAGAAACUCAACGUACAUGUGGUUUAUUAUAAAUAAGCUUCGUAAUGCAAGUAAAAUAUAAAAUGAGAAUCGUACAAUGUCUUAUAAACGAGUUAUGAAACUCAAAUGAGCAUCGUUCACGUGUAAAUAAUUAUUUUAGAUGCUUUAAUGACAAUAAAUCAUUCACACUAGUUACAUUUCUCCGUCAUUUUCUUAAGACGUACAUAUGGCUCAAUCGGUAAAUAAGUAGUAUGAUAGUGUUAAUUUGGCUUCGUAAGGCAAGUAAAAUGUAAAAUACAUUUAGGAGAGUCGCACAAUGUCUUAUAAACGAUUUAAAAAAAAACACAAAUAAGAAUCGAUCACAUGUGAAUAGUCUUUGUAGAUGUUGUAACGACAAUAAACCUUUUCAUGCGUAUGACAUUUCUCCGUCAUAUUCCAAACACCUACAUAUGGCUAUAUAUGGCUAUAUAGGUAGGUAAGAAACAUCGCAUUGAGAUAACAUAACCGAAAAAUCUAAUCAGACACAGAGGACAAUGGUGCCCCUGAGAAACUCACCCACCAGUCCACACUAUCAAGUAUGAACAAUGCCCCUAAGUCUACAACAGCAACAGUAGAAUCUAAAGAAACUCAUCAAUUAUCAAUCUUUGACUCUUUGUCUUAUUACCUAUGUCAUCUCCUCCACGUGUCGACCUAUCUCGACCGUCCGAUCCUUCUUCCUCCCUCCUCCUCGGUACCGGCGUCAGCCAGUCAUCAUCAUCAUCACUCUCUCAACUCAGAAACCAAAGUCUUCUCGUCUCCCUCCUCUCUCUCUCUCUCUCUCUCUCUCUCUCUCCCAAAAAAGAGCUUUGCGUUUUCCUCAAGAACUAGAAAAAGCGCUUCUCUUUUCAGCUGAAACACAAAACCCCUCAAAGUCUCAAACAUGGCUUUCCACCACCACCACCAAACCCCUCACGAAAUGGCCUUCCACGGCUCCUUCCCGGACACCCAACAACCCCCUCAGCUCGCCCCCACGUGGCUCAACGCGCCGCCGUUCCGCUCCUCGCCGUCCGGGAAAAGCGGCGAGGAGGACGGCGAGGAUGAGAUGGAGGGCGAGAGCGGGAGGUUCAAAGCCGACAUAGUGGGACACCCUCUGUACGAACAGUUGGUCUCCGCACACGUGUCGUGCCUGAGGAUCGCCACGCCGGUCGACCAGCUGCCGAAGAUCGACGAGCAGCUCGUGCAGUCGCAGCGCGUGGUGGACAAGUACUCGGCGAUGAGAGCCAACGGCGAGUUCGGAGUCCUGGAUGAGAAAGAACUUGACAUGUUCAUGGUUAGAGACUUAAACUUAGUUUCACUUCAAUCUAUGACAACGUCUUUGGUCGUACUAUUCUUCAAAUUUGUGACCCCUUUACAGUUUAGCCCUUCAAAUUGUUUGUAAUCUUAAUGUUGGACAAAUAUUUUGAGGUUUGAUGCUAAAGAUCAGUGCUUUGUUUGGUGUUUGUAGACAAACUAUGUUCUGUUGCUGUGUUCCUUCAAAGAACAACUGCAGCAACAUGUUCGAGUUCAUGCCAUGGAAGCAGUCAUGGCUUGUUGGGAGCUUGAGCAAUCUCUACAAAGCUUGACAGGUGAUUUUUCUCCAAGAAUUUACUUCGGUGAAAAAUGGGAGUAACUUUUUUUUUGUUCUUGUGCUUGGAAUUCAAAUCAUACAACUUUUUAUCACUGUUAUGGUUCUGUUUUUGAGUGCUAAGAUCAUAGACACCAACUACUGGUUAUGAGUCAUGACUUUUAUCUCAUAAAAAAAGAGAAGCAAGGCGUGCAAUUAGUUACAGUAACUUAAAGUCUCUUUUCAGUAGAUUAUUCUUGUUUGAAUAGUGCCUAUAGGUUUCCACUUCUUGUUUGAUCUUUAUACUAUUAUGCGUUCUACAGCAGAUUAGUGUUUAGAGUUUAUGAAUGACUUAGUUAGUAACGGUUUAAUUAUGAUGUGAAAACACAGGUGUGUCAACGGCUGAGGGCACAGGGGCUACAAUGUCUGAUGAUGAUGAACAAUUCGACGGUGACAUUAGCUCAUAUGAUGCAAGUUUAGAUGGACAUGACACCAUGGGAUUUGGUCCUCUCAUGCCAACUGAAAGUGAGAGGUCUCUGAUGGAGCGUGUAAGGCAAGAAUUGAAGCAUGAACUGAAACAGGUAUAGUUUGAUCCACACUACACAUUUGUGUACUGUUAAUGCAAGAUUCUAGGUGGUGUAUAACAUGUGGUGCAUAUUCUCAGGGCUACAAGGAAAAGAUUGUUGACAUUCGAGAGGAAAUUCUGCGUAAGAGAAGAGCAGGGAAACUUCCUGGUGACACCACUUCUGUGUUGAAAGCUUGGUGGCAAACACAUUCCAAAUGGCCUUACCCAACUGUGAGUUUACACUUCCAACCAUGUAUAAUAAUCAAUCCCCUUUUAUAGCUUAAUAAGAAAUUAACCCUCUUUUUCUUUUGCUACGAAUAGGAGGAAGACAAAGCGAGGCUGGUGCAGGAAACAGGGUUGCAAUUGAAGCAGAUCAAUAACUGGUUCAUCAAUCAAAGAAAAAGGAAUUGGCACAGCAACCUCUCCACAACUUCUGUUUUGAAGAGCAAGCGCAAGAGGUAGAAAAAUUGCACACUUUAAUUGUUGUUAUUGCUGUUCAGGUUUUUUUAUCUAGACCUUGUAUAUAAAUCUUUUCCCCAUUGUUAUGAAAAGUAAUGCAGGUGAUGGCAACAGUCAACGACUCAAGUAACCGACACUUUUAACUAAUGGAAAGAUGGAAUUCUAGCAUCAGAAAUGGGCUCAUAUUUAGUUUUAAGUUUAUUUCUAGUACAGUAAAACGUUAGACCAGUCUAUGGUGCUGCCGCCUCAUGCCCUCAAUCACUUCCGAGUCUGGCACCAUUCUAAUACCACCACCAUCUCAUCAAAUGUUUAAGUAUGUAACAGGAAGUUCAGGAACAAACUCAAAGGAGGCUGUCUUUGGGUCUAGAUAGAGUUUUUGACUUUUUGUAAGCUAAGAACCUCUACAUUUCAAUGUUUGCUUUCUGUGUUUGGUUUCUAUGGAUGAGAAUGGUUAUAAUAUAGUUUAUAGAUGUUUCAUAUAUUAGGGUUUUCUGUUUUCUUUAUCAACAUUUCACAGCCUUGUAUCCAAUACCGGCAUGCCCGUGAUUUGAACUGGAAAUUUUUCAUCCUAUAUUUACAACCGAGAGAAGACUACAUACUGUUCUGUAUCACAUACAGAACACAAUCAUUCAACAAUGAAGAAAAUAAAGAAUGACAACCGGCCUAAUUCUAAUCUAGCCUUCAGAGUCUACAGAAGCAUAUACAUCAACUAUUGAUGAUCAACCGGACCCUGCUGAGAAAUAACACUCGAAGGAGCUGCAAACCUUGCUGCAAAAUCAGCAACCGGAUUCUCCCCAUCUCUACCAUCACUGCCAUUAUCAAAAUUGAGAUUAUAGCUAUCCAUAUCAUACUGGAACCUAUUCUUCGGCUUCUGUUUCUUCCACAACCUCACUUUUUGCUUCCUACACCCCCUGCAAUAUGCACCAAUCUUCCUAACCAAAUUCUUCCACUUUGGCCCUCCAUAAACCACCGUAGACUCCCUAGCCUUGUUCAGCUCCUUCCUCCACCAUGUCACCUCCUUAGUGCUACUGUUACAUCCUCCCAACAGAAGCUUGCCUUCAUUCUCGCUGCUGCUUUGCUUCCAUGGAAACUUGAAAACCCCGAAACAGCCAUGACAACAAGCCGGGGCUUCUUCUUCGUAUGCAUCCAUCUCUACUUCUCCUUGAUCAUGGCCAUUACUCUCGCUCAAGAGGUUGAAGGGUGUCUCAUGAAGUAUGGUAACGUUUUCUUGGGAUGGAACUCAUGGAAGGACCUUAAAUGUACAUGGGGAAUUGUUUUCUUUGUUAAGUUGUUUAUACCUUGGUAGGAAACUUCCCAAACCUAUGCGGGUAAGGAAAGAUGUUAGAAACCAAACAAAAUGAGAAUUCCUGGUUCAGGUGCUACGCGGUGUCGUAUACGCUCUGGGAUUCCUGUUUUUGGUACGUAAAAUACCAUGAAGUUUGGUAUUAUCAGUUAAGCAGUUGCUUUUCUUAAGCACACGAAUUUUCAAGCACCAAGUUUUGUGUAGUUGUUUGACUAAAGAAACGAACCUUCUGCGUGUGAUAAAUGAAAAGAAAUUCCAUACAAAAACUAUGUUAGGGAGUUACUUCCAUAUGCGAAAAUUGAGUUCUGGUGUUGAACAAAGCGAUGAAACCAACAGAGAGCAUACAACCAAUCCAAUCCUCAUAUUCUUGUAUAUUUAUCUUGAAACGUGAUAGAAAACACUUGAUUCAAAGGUAAACCGUCAUAACCUAACAAAGUUGACUACUUAUAAGAUCUGUAAAGUUCUGUAAAACAAUGAAACAAAUCUUUCCUAUCACAUUAAAACAAAGACAUCCUCCAAUAGCCCGCAACAAGGGGGAUAGACAGCUGAGAUGAUCAGGCAAUGUCUGGCAUGGAUAUCACUUUUGAACCUGAGGCUGCGUCGAGGGCGGUUGCUGCUGUGCUUGGCCUUGUACUUUAGGAGGAAUCUUUGCAGCCAUAGCACGUAAUUGGUUUGCAAUCUCAGUGAAGUUCAGUCUCUCAGAUGGCUCUGCUGACCAGCAUCUCUCCAUCAAUGAUUUCCACUCUGGAUCACAAGACUCAGGGAUUGGUGGCCGCAAUGUAUUGCUCACAAUACCGCCUGCAAUUACAUGUGAAUAGCUCGCUUUCAAUAUCUCUCACUCCCAGUAAAUCAUAUAUAGGAAUCAAGGAUGUUUACAAAAAUAAAAAGUUAUUAAGCAGUAGAUCACCUAUGAUAGCCCCAUAGUGCAAGUCCCCGUAUGGUUCUUCUCCAGUGAGGAGCUCCCACAGUACGAUACCAAAAGAAAACACAUCAACCUAAUGUUCCCAAAGAGAAAAGAGGUCAAUAAGACCACCUAAGGGACAACCAUGUGUCAUAACAUAUUUCAACAGUUAAAAGUAAAAAUGACUAACACAAACCUUCUCAGAGACAAGGCUACUACUACCAUUCAAAAGUUCAGGUGCCAUCCAAGGAAGUGUUCCUCGCACGCCACCAGAGAUCAGUGUCUGACAUUUCACCUUUGAUAGGCCCAAAUCACCAACCUAAUAGAAGCAGACAUGUGAAUAUUAGUUUUCAGUUAAAUGUGAAUGCCGUCUCAUAAAUACACUAUUAGAUUAUGUUACUAGAUCACUGUUUGAAUGGCAUGUAGAAAUUUUUGCUGCAAAUAAAACCAAUUGGAAUGUGAGGAAGAGUGCUCCAGUCACUUGCCUUGCAAAUCGGGCGGUGUGGAUCUCGAAGAUUGACCAGUAAAUUGUCACUUUUCAAAUCAAAGUGCACUAUAUUCUUUCCAUGCAGGUACUCCAUUCCAAAUGCCACAUCCAUUGCAAUCAAUAGGCGUUUGCGCUUGUCCAGACUCCUGUGUUAUUUACCUUAGAGUCAGCUCCUUAUUAUAAUGGCAACUAAAUGCGGACUAUUGCAUCCAUUAAAAAUUAAUUCACACGAAACAAAGCCAUUACUUCUCAUUCUUCUGCAACGCAUUUCUAAGGGAACCAUUAACCAUAAACUCUGUCACGGUUGCCACAGAACCUCCUGGGCCAUCAAGUACAACACCAUAAAAAGCUACCACAUUUGGGUGGUGCAAGUCAGCCAGAUUGAUGGCCUCAUUCCAGAAAUCGUUUCUCUGAUAAAUUACAUAAACCAAAAUACAGAGCCCAGUAAGUGAUACAUUAAUGAAUAAAAUUAGUAAAUUAUGAAAACAUGUGACUGAGAAGACAAACCAUGCGCUCCUGUUCUGAAGGCUUCCCAGCAAAACACCUAUCGUUGAUUCGUUUGAUUGCAACAUCAGUGCCCCUCCACUUUCCAUGAUAGACUGUACCAAAUGUUCCAGAACCUAAUUCUCUGAGCUCUUCAAGGUCAUCAUUCUUAAUAAUCUACCAAAAACAGUAAGAAAUCACAUCCAUGGCACAAUUUAAUAACAGCAGAUCACAUUUAGGAAACAUAGAACACAAGUUUUAACCUGCAGCCGGCCGAUGCCAUCUGAUACUGGAAACCCCAAAUUUGGCUUCUCUGGACAUUUGGUCUUGACGUCCUGAAACAGAAAACAAAAAUUAGAAAGCUGGAGCUAGAGAAAGACUGGAAUUAAAUGUUAUGCAUGAGUAUGAAAUUCAGAAAUGCAAGUGAAAUAUUAAUGCACAUCCUCAAAAACAGAUGAAUUCCUAAAACUACCUCAACGCUAUGCUGCAUACUUGAAACGCUGAUUUGACCUUCAUCUUGGUUGGAAUCAUAUGCAGACUCAUUUUUGUCAUUAAAAACCGGAUUUGACAGUGAAGAUGACUUAAAAACUGAGGCAGCUACACCCUCAGCAACAGCUUGAAGGUCUUGCUUAAUCUGUUCCUCUGCUGAUCCUAUGACCAAAAGAAAUAAGACAAUUAUUAUGAUCUCCAAUCAACCAACUAAUAAAUGAAUAAAGAAAAAUAUAGAAAGACCUUUGCCUGACCUUUGGAAGACUGGGCAUGAUCUGGAUUAAGAUCCUUGUUCAAAUUACCCAGUGGCUGACCUCCAUCCUCCAAUUGCAUUUCUGUAUUUAGUUCUGCACCAUUGCCACCAAAGAGAUCUCUAUUUGUACAGGGUUCCUUUUUCAAUUGUAUUUUGGUAGGUAUAGGAGGCGGAAGAUGAGUGUCAUGGCGCAAAUUCCAAGGAUCCUGAUCGCUGAAUAGUGAGUUUGAAGAGUCUUGGACAUCAACUGUUAUCAUAGGUGGAGAGAAAGAAGAUGGCAUGUUACCAUUCAAGGUAACAACUUCAACAUCAGUAUGUACCAUGUUGGGAUGCAAUCUCAAGUUCUCGUUUCUCCUUUCAGCAGGAGGUUGAGUUCUGGUAGGUAGAGGGGUGGACACAACAGGGUUUCCAUAAUGGAAUGCAUGAGAAUCCACAGGGAAUCCAAUUCUUGAUUGCUGAUAAGAUUCAGGAUUUCCCCACACAGGUGGUUGUGGUGUUUCAUUGAUUUCUACUGGUUGUGUAGUAUGGACUUGUGGGGCUCCAGUAGUGUAAGAAGCUAGUACUUCAGUUGGAACAAACUGAUUCUUGUCUAAGGUAUUCUCUACAGGUAACUCCCUUCCUGCAAGUUGUGGUGGUUGUUGAUCAUAGCUGUCUUCCCUUCUAGGUGUUUCAAUAGGUGACUUAGCAUGCUCAUUUUUAACAUAAACCUCUGACGGGCUUAUCCUGAUUGUUUCCAUCAUCUCUUCUUUUGGAAAUUUAUUAAAGUAUACUUGCGGAGACUCGCGAACCAGGUCUGAAGUUUGAACAUUCAGGGCUCCAGUAAGUGGAACUUCUUGAUUAACUGGAGUGUUAACCAAAUCUUCAUGUUUAACAUGAUACUGGGCUGGGGCAGCCCUCCUCAUGACGCCCUGGGGAGCUGAUAUCAUUGGAUGAUCCGCUUGAUGAAGAUAAUUUCUCUCCUCAUAUAUGCACUCAGAAGAAUUCUGCACUAUCCCUGCGCCAUCUGAAUGUGAUGUUCCAAGAGGAUCUACCAGGCCUUGGACUCUGGGUCGAAUAUCAACUCCCUGCCCUAAAUUACCUUCCCCCAAUGCUCCACUUACCAACACCCUGUUUGUUGGCUGAGGUCUCCAGUUUUCCUCAAGAAGAAGACCAUGGUAAUUUGAAUCUGAAUCAGAUACAGGACUCGCACCACCAUCGCGCUGACCCUGUACUGGUACCGGGUCAGAAUGUGCAUGAGGCAAAGCCUUCUGACACAUAAAGCAGUCUUCCAACCUGUUGGAUUUCUCAGGAUACAUUACCUGUUGGUGCGAUACCAAACCAUCACGAUACAUCACAUGCUCCUGUGGUGUAAUCUGAUGCCAACCAUAAGCACCUCCUGGUGCUGGUGAGGGGACCUGAACCUGAUAUGUAUUAUAGCUUUGUUCAGCGGGAAGCUGGACAACUCUGGGACAAAAGGCACUUUCAUCCACAUAAUGAUGAUCCAAUCGAGUCUGUUGGGGUUGCAUCAAUGGCUGAAGUACAUUUGGUCUCAUAUUAACAUGAGAAGAUGGACUCAUUGUCAUAUGCACAGCAGGAACAAAAUGAUGUGAGGUCAUGCCAGCACCACUAUCACGGAAUUGUUGUUGGGUAUAGACAGGACCAGCAGUCCCAAACAGGUGAUUGUUUGGGAAUCCCAUAUGGGGAGGAAGCUGGUGAGGGCUAACAUAAGCUUGCAGAUAUGGAGAAGUUGACUGAAUGUCAAUUCCAGGUUGCUGCAACCCCAGUUGCUGCUGUGAUACUGUAACAGGAGCAGUCCUUUCAAACUCAACCUCAGGGGGGGAAUAUGAUGUUUGGGGAGGCCCAGUCUUAACCACAUUAAUGCCUGAUGGAAUAGUAGAAACCACUGCAGGAUUUGGAUCUGGAAAACCCAAUCUUGUACCAGUGUCCUGAGAGUUUGUCAAAUCUCCUUUAGGGGAUAACUUGUCCCCCUGGCUAGGAACGGAACUAUCAACAACAUCAAUUCCACUAUAAUCAGAAUUUUGAGUUGAAGUUGCACUUGUUAUACUCUCCCUCCUCAUGAUACCACUACCAACCCCAUCCGAAAUCCCAUUCACAGCAUCAACAUAUCUCUGGCCACUCUCAUUUAAAUCCCCAUACUUUACAGAACCAUAUGUAUCAAGGUCUGAAGCAGAAAAAAGAAAUACCCUCAAUUUUGCUGACCCAUCUGGAGAUUUCUCCACCAACUUCUCAUACUCAUCCUUCAUAUUGUCAAGAUCAUCAGCACAUGAAACUGACACUAGUGCAUCAAGAUCCUCGUCGGGUAGCUGAUACUUGAUAACCACAGAUUGCCCAUACGAAUCCACCAUUUUCUGCACUAGCUCGUUCAGGUUCACAUCUCUCCGAACACUAAUAAUCCUUGUAUGUCCUCCAACAUAUCUCAACAUCCCAUCACUUGGUCUGGGCAAAAUCUUGCCUCCAAAACUGCACAGCAGCUUUAUUUUCUUCCCUGACACAGAAUCAUCUCCACCAUCAUCACUGGCUUGAUCACUCCGAUUUCCCAUAUUAGGACUAUAAGCAUACCCAGACAUCGAAUCACUACCUGACUGAUCAGCAAUAUUGCCCUUACUGCCUAAAUUGGUACUAUAACCAAACCGAGCUGACAUAUCACUAACACCCUGAUCCAUACCAUUACCAACAACCAUAUUCCCCAUAUUCGAACUACACACAUAAGGCCCAGCUCCAGCUGUAGCAGGAGAGCUCACAAGAUCAACAGCAUUCCCAACAACCCUACUCCCCAAAUUAGGACUGUAACCGAUUCCAACUCCCAUCGCAGGGCUCACACCCUGAUGCCCCACCGUCACAGGCAUCCUCGGCCCCCAUGUGGACACCGGAUUCCCAUACCCUAAACCAACAUACCCCGCCUCCGAAACCGGCCCAGGGUAAUACAUAGGACUACUACCUUGAGCCAAAUUGGGUAUAAACCCAGCUGAAGUAGCCAAUGCAAUGCGGGGGGGCUCCUCAGCCACAGACCUCGCUACAUUUAAAGGCCUCAAAUCUUGGGGAACCGAAUUUUGAUCAAACGUCAUAUCUAGAAAACCAAUACACAAAUUUCGAAUCAAAGCCCUGUAAAUUUUUUCAAUCCUAAACACUAAAAACAGAGGAUCAAACACAACAAAGCUCACAUCUUUGCUUCCACAAUCUUAAUAUCACUACCAACCCAAGUCAUAUUCCACCAAACUAGUCUUAAAUUUCACAUCUUUACACCAAAACAGGGCUAAGCUAAACACAGAGAUAUCAAAUUUGCAAAUUGCAAUACACAAAGAGAGAAACAGAGAGAGAGUACCUGAUUGAAACGACGUCGUAGAAUGAGAGAGAGAGAGAGAGAGAGAGAGAGAGAGAGAGAGAGAGAUAGAGACGACUCUGAGUCGGUGAUCAAGCUGUGACAGUGACAAGCGUCCCCCUCAGGGCCUCGUCACUUUUGGGUUUUGUCUCUAAAGAUCAAAAUUUUGAAUCAUCUACAAGAUUUCUGGAGGUGGGUUUGAAAUUUUUCUCGGGAAAAAAAGGAAGGGAGAAAUAGAAAGUGUGAACGUGAGAGAAUAGAAAGAAGGAGAAUUUUAGGUUUUUAGAAAGAUUUGUUUUGUUUUGUUUUGGGUUUGAGAGAAGAGAAGGGAGGAGAGGGGAGGAGGAGGAGGGUGGUGGUGAGGACUGAGGACAAGGCACGUGGAUGGUUUCAUGCAAGAUUGUGAUUCGGAGUCAAAAAAGUGUUGUGUGGGGGGUGGGGGGGUUUGUGUCAUUGUGUGUCAAGAACUUGGGGAGGAAGGUCUUGAUUCUCAGAUGGUGACAAGUUUGUGGGACUGAAAUACUUUUGGUUUAAGGUUUGGUCACAUUAUCUUUUAUAGACAAUUUUCUUUUUUGGGGAGGUGAUGUCAAUAUUGGAUUGAGACACUGUUCAUGAGGGCAAAUGUUCAUUAGGGUCUGAGCUUGUGUGUGUUUGGUGUGAUGAUGGUGUGAUUUUGGAUCAUAAUUCAUGAGCCACAAUAUCCAACUAUUUAUUGUGAUGAUUAUGAGUUCAUGAUGAAAGAUGCAAAGGGUUUUACAAAAGAAAAGAGAUUGAGAAUCGGUUUCAUAAGUGCUGAAACUUUACUCAUAGCACUAAAAUUAAGGGUAUACUCAAAAUUAUGAAAUUUUAUAAUGAUAUGUUUGUCGUGACAUCAAAAUAACGUGUACGUUAUAAAUUUUAUUUUGAGAUGAGUUUCUUUUUUAAUUUAGAUGGUGUUUUGAAAAUUGUAAUUUUUAAUUUGCUAUGUUAUUGUGUGUUGUGUUCGUCGAAACAUUAUCUAAUAAUAGACAAGCUACAAAAUGCAAUUCGUUUUGACUCAAUAAGCUCAUGUUCAUUAAAAGAACGAUCGAGUAGAGGUUGUAAACAACUCCUAUCUUUGUGAACAAACCGACUUGAAUAUGUUCAUAGUUGGCUCCUCAUCUAAAAGAUGGAUAUAAUAGUUCAUUUGAGGAUUGGGGUGGCAAGAAAAGAAACACUAUAUGGCAAAGACAGAGAGGAAGUGCACUAGAAAUAUCUCACACACACCUUCAUCACCAAGAAACAUCCUAGAGCCUAUUUGUCCAAGUAUAUCAUUUGGGGUCCAAUGCAACACUUGAUCUGAUUGGACAAGGAAAGAAGAUCAUUUGAAAUUUGAAUGCUCAACCCUUUUGUUAGCAAAGUCACAAUUAAUAAACAAACUCCAUUAGAAAAGGGUAAAGACAUAAACAAUACCCAGCAAAACUUUGUUGGGAGAUGAUGAAGCAGAAUCUUGUUUGUUUUGAGUAGUAUAUAACCAGAGAAUACAAAAUGCCCUGAGAAGCAACACUUCUUCGAGUGAGAAUGGGAGACAAAACUCUUCUACUUGAAGUUUUAUAAUUGAUAACCAAAUCAUAUAGUUAAUCCUUAGAUUAAACCAAAAACGUCAUCACGCGUUCUACUUCUUUAUUGAGAAACUUGGAAAGUUAGUUUUGAUAGACUGAAAGAUAAGAAAGGUAGUUAUGCUUGCACAACAAAAUUGACAUCCAACUCUCACUUUCUUAUGUUGUUUCUGUUAAGUUAGGCUAGAAUCUGAAGAGAAUCGCCCAGAAUCUGAGAAAAGAACAAAAGGCAGAAGAUAGCUAGAAUCACCCAGAAUCGUAAAGGUUGGUUAUAAAAUAAGAAUUCAAAGUAAAUACUAAACGCUGGACAUUAGGAGUCUUUGAACUUCAAUUAUAUUGUAUAUAGCUGCAUUAAUAUAUGACAUGCCUAUUAGUUACACCAUACCCAGUAAUGCCAACAGUGAUGGAAGCCCAUAUUAUGAGAAUAAAAGGCACAUACCACCAGUUAACUCUAAUCUUCGUUUUCUAUGAGAAGCAAGAGCUUUGAUAGUUCAUCAUCUGAUCAUCACCCUUGCGUAACCUGUACAGUAGUGUACGUCUUGCAUCCAAAAGCAGGAGCUCCUUGUAGCCUGGUAGAACUCUGUAGUUGAUCGAGUUUCGGGUUUUAUUUUGCAGGACAUGAAAAGCCUUCUUAGACCAAUGAAGGAUCUGAGCAAUGCAAGCUGGGAAGGAUGUGCAUCAUAUGCUAACUUAGGUUAUUACUUACCUUAUUCUUGUAUAUGCUACGUACUUCUAUUCUAAUUAGGUUUAUCACUUGGGAUCUUGACCGUUAGGUUUAUCACUAGGUUUCAUGCAAGAUUGUGACUUUGAGUCAAUUAGAGGUGUUGCGUACGUGGGGGAUUUGUGUUUGUGGGACUCAAAAUCUUUGAUCAAGGUUUAGUCACAUUAUCUCGAGGAUGCAUGGCAUAAUGGAAGCCCAUAUUUUUAGUUACACCAUACUCAGUAAUGCCAACAAAUUAAGAUGGGACUCAUGGGAGUCCAUAUAAUCAAAAUGAAGGGCAGCACUGCUUCUUCGUUUUGUAGUCGAGCAACUACCACCCACUUCUUCAGAUAAUACCACCAGAUAACCACUAUCUUGGCUCCGUCGCAUCGAAAAUUUCUAAUCCAAAAGCCCUAGUUUUGGAGACUUGAAGCGUGACUUUGCUGCCGGACACGAAGUUGAAAAGACCUAACUAAUGUUCUAGGGGAUACAUCCCUUGUUAAGGAUCUCUUCUUGCGAAUUCUCUACACCAAAUCUCUUAAACCGUGCCUAAAACCAAACAUGAAACAUGGCUUAAAUCACAGUCGCAUAUAAGAGGUAACUAAUUAUGCAAUGAUAACCUCACCAGAGGAACAUUUUCAGUGAAUAAUUUACAGAGAUUUUUAACAUGCAGAUCAAGAAAGGUUACGUAAUGUACGUUUAUAUACAGCACCAAUAUUGUAUAAACAGUGAAACACAAUUAGCCUAGUCAAACAAUCAAUAUCGAAUACUCCUCCAAUCCCUCAGGCGGAGAUUAAAUUAGCUACAAGCGGUUAUCUCCUUGGACGCCGGAGAAGCGGCCGCAGCGGACUCCUUCGGCGGGGAAUGUGGCAACCUCGCCGAGAAGUUCCUGAGAGGAAAGCCGCCGUCAUCCUCGUUAGGGUCCUCAUGAUCAAAGUUGAGGGCGUAACUCAGCUCGUCGUAUUUGAAGUCCCCGGAGUGCCUCCUCCCACUACUGUGGCGCCCCAUGCGGCCAAUGGCCUUGCGACACUUGUCCUUGAGCUCGGAGAACUCAUGGUGAUGGUGAGAGCGCGCCGAUUUCGGGGUGGAGAGGGAGGCGUCGGAGGGACGUAGGAGGCCUAAGUCAUCCCGGUUGUGGCCGCUGGCGCUGUAGCCAUGUGGGGUCGUGGGGGCGGUGAUGGAGCCGUGGCUGUGGUUGUGUUGGUGGUGGGAUUUAUUGUCUUUGAAGCAAGGGAGAAUACAAAGAGAAGAACGUAGCUUUUUCCUGAGGCCGCUAGGAGAAGUUGGGCCCGGCGUCACUAUCCGUAGGUCCAUUUUCCGGUCUCUAUUACCGGUGACGUUGGUGAUGGCACGGAUGCAACAGUACAAUGGUAUUUUCAAGUUGAGGGAUGGUGGCGGAUGUUGUUUUUGGUGGUGGAGUGGUGGUGGUCGUGGUUUUGAGGUGUAGUAAUUGGGAGGGUUUGGAGGAAAUGACGGGUGAAGAUUUUGUGAAGGCCCGGAUUCGUGGGGAUGCUCAGAGGUUAUCGCUCUUUCACCCAAAUUAAGCAAAAAUGUAAAUUUAAUAGUUUAUUAUGAAAAUUUAAAGUCAGAUAUGGGCAGGGCUGUAUGUUGCUUAUUAUACAAGUAACAAUUGGGCUUGUAGAUUUUUUUUCGAACAAGAAUUAGGCUUGUAGUUAAGCCCAAUUAGUUUUCACUAGGGUUUUUUUUACCUCAGUUGCUUGGAAAAUGCGCACACCUCUUAUAAAUACCUACAUCAGCCAAAGCCUUAGUUACACUGUAGAUAUUCACAGAGGCAAACUGCAAGGCAGUCGUUUUUAUCAGCCAGAUUAGGGUUCAUAUAUUUCUUUAUACAAAGAGAUGAAUGUUGAGAACAAGAGGGUUAACAAUAUGUAAAUCCCUCUCUCGCUCUCUACAGUCACUCUUUGUAUGAAGUGAUGCACUGAAUCCCUCUAUAAUCCCUUUGGGCACUUAGUUUUGCAACUGCUUGGAUCAGAUCUCACUCCAUUGUUGUAGUUACAUCGAUCAGCUGAGUUCAUGAUAGCCUUGUCGAUCUUGGUGGUUAAUUUUUUUUUUUUUUUUUUCAGUGAAUAUGAGGGUCCUUUGUAUGAGUUGUCUUGUAUAGAUCUUAUACAUGUCUAUGUCUUGUUUAAGUUCCGGCAAUCCGGUUAACGAUUUCCAGUCUCAUUUUGUUUCAUAUUAAUGUGUUAUUGAUUUCUUAAUCCUUGAACUUCUCUCAAUGCUUUUUCUGUAGAGCUACCACAUGCUAACUGAUUGCACUACAAAAGAAAUAGGAUAUUGCCAAUUGCGAUAUGUUUCAGAUGAUCUAACGUUGCAUUUGGUUUUUGGUUUCCUGAUGAUAUUUCAGUGCACUGAGGCCCAUUUGGUUGGCAGGAAACAAAAAAAAGAGAUAUGACUGGAAAUUGACUCUCUCAUAAAACUUGAAUUCAAUUACUUUGUCAAGGGUGGUAUAACUGGUAUUUCAAUUCCAUUCCCACUGUCAAAGCCACAAUUACAUAAAUUAUCCUCUCAUAAAUUUAAAUGUUGUACGUAUUUGGAAAUUAUAAAGGGGCAUUAUUGAAAAAUAUAACUUUGUAUUUCAUUAUAAUGACGUACCAAACAUUACAAUAGGAAUUAAUAUACUUGAUUCUAUCAUUUAAUUUCCAAUAUAACCCAAACACCUACAUGAAAAUACCAAAACAUAUUCCAUUCUAUAUCUGUUUGAAAAAGAAAAUAAACUCAUUUCCUAUUUUUACUUUCCUGCAUAAAUUCAUUUCCUAUUUUUACUUUCCUACGGGGCCUCGAAGCAUUUUCAAUCUCAAAGGAAAUGACGGAUGGUGGCGUGGUCGUGGUUUUAGAGGUGUAGUAAUUGGGAGGGUUUGGAGGAAAGGACGGGUGAAGAUUUUGUGAAGGCCCGGAUUCGUGGGGAUGCUCAGAGGUUGUCGCUCUUUCACCCAAAUUAAGCAAAAAUGUAAAUUUAAUAGUUUAUUAUGAAAAUUUCAAGUCAGAUAUGGGCAGGGCUGUAUGUUGCUUAUUCUACAAGUACCAAUUGGGCUCAUACUUUUUUUUUUGAACAAGAAUUGAGAUUGUAGUUAAGCCCAAUUAGUUUUGUGAUGACGUGUAUAGAAGGUAUGGAUCAGUAUCUUAUUGUUUUUGAUAGGAAAUGGAUGUGAGUAUCUUAUUGAUUAGUGUAACUGUGUAAGGUUGCCAAUUUGAUAAUGAAAUUAUGUGAUCCUGAGAAUCCUUCCUUAUUCUGCUAACAUGCUCCUACUUAAUUAGCAUCUCAAAUGAUAGUGAUCAUUGUCGGGACUACGGAUUCCUAAAUAUGUACUAAACAACUUUCACCUAAUGUCAAAAUUCGCUACCACAUAAGGAAAUAUAUAUACUAAUCUUAAAUGUGGUUUUGAUAUAAAACGUUAUACGAUAAACACGCGUUGUGUAAUAUAGUAUGGAGAGAUGAAGACUAGCUAACAAAUUAACUCAUCGUCUGAAAAUGUAUUAAUUAAGAUUUUCAUCUCUUUAUAUGGGUGAAAACUAAAAUUAACAUUUAUAUGAUUGAUACAAAGUUUAUUAUCUACCAACGGCUCCCAGUGAGAAAACACAUUUUUGAGGAUUCUAAAUGCAAAUAUCGCACUUUCACAUGCUUAGCUGCCAAAUACAAUAACAAUUUGAUGGUCUCGUAUUUAUAUAUUACCGUUUUAAUGAUAUAAAAUUGAAUACCAUUAAACGGUAAUGUUUAUUGGAUAAAAUAAAAUUCCAACCAAGAAAAGGAAAAAGAAUUAUGGAUUUACCAUAAUCUCUUCCAUCAUGAAAAUGUGAACUAUAUAUAAAACUAGCAGCUUUCCCACCAUAGAAACCAGAAUCAUGAGAAGCAAUGAAGCUGAAAACCAAGAAUUACCAGUCACACUGCAUUGUAGCACAACGGAAGGGCCUAAAUCAAUUUGGUAGGUCACGUGGCUCACUCUUGGCCUUGUGUACCCAAAUUAGUGCUUCUUUUCUGGUCAGAAUUACAACAAUUCUGAUUCUUUUAUCAGCUCAAUUGAAACUUCCUCACUCUUUCCAUUCCCUUUCCGACCUUGUUCCUCACCCACUUUUCACUUUUCUUCUCUCAGUUUCUCCCACCCAUAAUUGAGAACAGAGAGAGGAAGAGAUUGAUAGAGAGAGAGAGAGGGAGAGAGAUGAACAGAGGUUGAUGAAGAUCGACAUGAUUGAUUCAGAUAGCUAGGUUUUAGCUACCAUCAAUGGUAUGGCCCCUCUUUUGUCUCCCACCAAGCUUUCUGAAUCGUUCACAAUUGUCUUCUUCCUCUCUUAGAACAUCAUUUCAGGCAGCUAGCUUCUCAUAUCUGAAGAGGCUGGUUGUUUAUAAAUAGGAGAAAAACAUGUAUACAUAGCAUACUUCGAUUCUAACGCCGACAGCUUAUAUUUAAGUUGUUGCGGUUAAAAAGCUCGUAUAUACUCCCUGUAGUCAUAGUUACACCUUAGCUGCAAUGGCGGGGAUGCUUCCUGGUGUGGAAUGUGCUCGAAGGAGACGAGUCCAUCAGAGCAGUGAAUCACCAAAUCCGGCUAAUACAAAUGGCUGCACCAGACGCUCAUCUUUUUGCCUGUAUGCUAGCAACAAUGAAACUCACCAAACCUCAACGUUUUCUCUGGUAAUUAAUCAAUUUAACUACUGUGUCUAAUACUUGGUUUUUCCUCAUUUUUGGGUGAUUAUUUGAUUGUUACUUGUUUUUGAAUAUCAUAGCAAAGAAGCAAGCUGAAUCAGGCUUCAUACAUGGAUGAGAAGCUAGGAGUGGAAGCUAGAGUAGCCAAGGAGAGACUAGAUGAAAGAUUGAGAACGCAGAGAAAAACACAACCCAAUAGGUGAUUGAUUACUUACACCCAACUUUCAAAGCAUGUAAAUUAGUUAUCAAGCUUGGUUAGUUUUCUCAUACAAAUGAUGAAUUGGGUAUAGGCUAAAUAGCAAGGAAGGAUCAUUGAGAAGUAGUAGUGUGGAUGAUGGAAGAUGUACCAUGAUUCCUAGGGAGUUGCACAGAGAAGUGUAUGGAUCAAAGAAGACUACUACUAAGACUGGGUCAAGGAAGUUCAGCUGGGCCAAGUUGAGCUGGAAGUCAUCUGACCAAGAUGAGUGCGCUGUUUGCCUUGAGAGGUUCAUGCCAGGUGAGACCCUGGUGCAUCUGCCUUGUGCUCAUAGGUUCCAUUCUGGCUGCAUGGUCCCAUGGCUAGAGAAGAAUGCUCAUUGCCCUUGUUGCAGAAUGGGGGUAGCUUUAGUGUCCCAGUAAAUUGACUUCUCUUUAAUUUGUGUUGAUUUAUCUGUAAUGAGCUUGCAGUUGUAGGGUUGGUGUGGAUCAGGAUGUUCCUUUAUGGAUCAUUACCUUGUAGCUGUCAUAUGAUUUUGUUGAUGAAAGACUAGUGAGGAACUCUGUGUGUGAGUGAAAUUAUGUAUAUAAAUGGUCGGUAGUUUCAAGGUGCUUCAUAGUAGAGAUCAAAUGUCAUACAUAAACACAUUUUUGCAACAUCAUUCUUCACCAUGCAAAUCAAAUAUGGGGAACUGAAAAUUUGGGGAUCAAGAUUUCUUGAAAAGGUUCAAAUAUAAUUGAAGUACCAAAGCUUAAUCUAACUAAAAUGAGAGUAUAACAUCAUUUUGCAAUGUUGUUAGGUAUAAAUCAACAUAUCAGAAAAUACAUCAUUCAGUAAUUCCCAUUCCAUAACAGAAGGGACAUAUGUAGACCCUUCUUGUCUUACUUCCAUAAGACUUUAACCAUAAGAAUGAACAAAUAAUAGACAUGAUGAGUUUUGAAGGAAAUGCAAGUGAGUGAAUGAAUCUAAUUCCAUCGAGUGUCACAAUCUGUCAAUUCUUUUCCACCCACCUCCUGAAAUUGAAUUUAAGAUAAUGCACCUCGCAUGUGACUAGUGGCCCAAAGAUUUGAACAUAUGGGAAUGGGAUUGCCUUUCUGUCUUGGUCUCAAUUCCAUUUUAUCUUGCUUACUCAUUAAACCAUUCAUUUAGGUGAAUCAUCACUCUCAUAUUGUUGCUUGAUCAAAAGUUUGAAUCACUAAUUGAUAAAGAUUAUCUAUAGUUCAUCUUUUCCCUAUCAUAUCCUAAUUUGGUUAAAAGCUCGCACCUUUCUGUACUGUGAAGCUGGAGAGCACUAUUAUGUUGUUAUCAUAGGGCAAAUAUCUGCCUUGAUUGAUUUCAUUUGCUGGGUUGUGUUAGUAUAAUCAAGCUUUUAAGAUAUGUUCUGAUUACUUCUGUAUUUUUUUCUUUGUGAUUUGAGACUUAUCGAGUGAGUGAUCGAGUGAGUGAUAAACAAGAGUCUAAAACGUCUAAAAGUUUUCACAUGUAACAAAAGAUUGAGACGUAUUGCAUGAUUUUUUUAUUUUUUGGUACUGUUGGAUUUCAAAUCUGCUACAUGUACGUCCACUAAGUAGGCAAAAUCAUACAAUGCGUCUCAAACUUCUGUUUGCAAGAAAAAUGAUUACGAAAGGGUAUGAUAGUGAUAGUGAGCGAGAUUCAAAUUAGGGACAAGAAACACAAAAAUUUACCAAACCCUUUCGUAUUUACUGAUACCAUUAGGCAUUAGCUCAGGAAAACGUCUCUUUACUUUAAAUGGUGAAAAUGACAUUGCCAAUUCCCAAGCAACAAGCACCAAAACGACGACGUCUCCUCACUGCAUCUUUUCAUUAUUUUUGCCACCAAGUGGGUUUCAAAACACUCGCUUCUCUCAACGGCUAGUUCCUAGUGACCGUUUUCCUUCUCCCCAAAUUCAAAACUACCUCUCUCACUCACUAAGCUCACAAAAAACCAGAUUCACAGCUCUGGCAUCUUACACAAACCCUCGAUAUCUCUCUAACGCUUUUGCCAAUCCUUCGAAUCAUCAAGAUCCCAGAUCAGUUUCAAGAAUGGUGUACUCUUACGCACCCACCUACUACUCCUCUCUCCAUGAGUCUGUCACCUCUUUGUGCAAGACCAUCCUUCCCUUCAGCUUCAAGAAACGCCGCUUAACAUCAGCGGAACACAAGCUGUCGAAGCUUCAGUCGGAUAAUCUCAAGUGGCAGCAAGACUCUUUCCACCAGAUUCUCAACUUGAUGGGUCUUCACAAAGAAGGCAUUUUGGCUGAGACUGAGGUCUCAGCUUUUCGAUCCCAUUUGCUUGACACCCUCAUCGCUGCUCCGGCAGAGCAUGAGCAGCCGGUGAUCUUGCGAGAUAAGCUGCUUUUCUUGCAGGUAAACAAUCUAAGAUCUCUCUUUCUUUCUUUAUUCAUUGUUAAAAAUAUGCGACGGGGUAUUGUAAGUUUCAAAUUGUUCUUGUUCUUGCUGUCGCGAUCUAUUGAGAUUAACGGGGAUUAAUUAACCUUGUAGGAGCUGUUGUAUGCUAAAUGCAUAUCUGAAGAUGAGUACCAUUCUUCAAAAAGGCCAUUGCUGCAGAGAUUGGCAGUGCAAGGAGCUGAGAUUGAGGCCAGAGAUGUUAUUGUUUCUGGGGCACCAGUUAAAGAGGCGAAAGAGAAUGCAGAGGAGGAGUGGUCUGUCAUCGACUUAAAGGAUGACAAAAACUUGACAAACAAAGAGGGAUCGAAUUCGAAGAGCAAGAAAGGGAAGCAUGGCUCUGCAAUGAAGCAAAUCAAAGGAGCAGCUUCGGUUUUGGGGUUUGUCUCGCCUUACAAACAAGGGAAGAACAGAGAAGAGAGGAGCAUUUUCGAUUUGGCUAACAACUCUAAGCUUGAAACAAGCUCAAUUCUCAUGCAGGAGAGUUUGCCUCCUGUGAAAGAGAGUGGUAGCUCGGAUAGGACAAAGAGGAAACCGUUUAGGAAUUUGUUUCAGAAAGAAGGAAAUGGUGAUGAGAAUUGUGUCGAGAAAGAACAACAAACACCUUCGAAAUCGGCUAAGAAGAAAUGGGGGUUUGAUGGGUUGAAGAAGUGGAAGAGGAAUGAGUCAGAGGAUGAGACAACUCCUCUGCCUCUUAAUGAGAGAUCAGAUGAUGAAGUUCAUGUGAGGCUUGUGGCAAGCCCAAUGGGUGAAGGGCCAGACACUAAGCUUAUCAAGAGGAAGCUGCUCUCAGAUGGCUCUCCUUCUGAUUUCUUCAUUGAUAAGGUUUGACAUUGUUGAUUUGGUUUCUUAGAGUUGAUAUGAUAUUCGAGAAUUGAGCUGAAACUGAAUCUUGGUCACUUUCAUUAUGUGCAGGUUGUAGGGGACAAGAUAAAGAAGGAGCUGUCGAGAAUUCAGACCGAGCUUUGCACAGCAAAUCCAAAUCUUAAAUUUUCGUAAGCCUUUCUAUUCUACUUAUGGUGAUUUGUUGUAUAAGCAUUGGUGUUGAAAAACAAUCUUUCUUUUAUGAAUAUAUGAGUUUGAUUCAUGGAUUCAUGGACUUGAUCAGGAAUGACCAAAUUGAAGAAAUUUCGACUAAACUUCCAGUCGACAAGGCUGAGCUAAAGAAGUUCUUUCCCAAGUAAGAUCAAUUCCAAAACCAUUCACCUUUUGAGCCUAGAAUCAGCUAAAUUGUAUCACCCUUUUGAUCUCCUUUGUUUUGAUGCUUCAGGUCGUGGUGUGAUCGGUAUGGAGAUGUCGUUUUGGAUGUGGUGAAGAAAGAAUUUAAGGACCAUGUAGGGGAAAUGGAGAGCUUGAGGAAUGCAGCUAGAGAGAAACAUGGCAUGAACUCGGCUCGGUGGACAACAUUCCAAGAUGAUGAUGAAAAUUGUCACCCGAAUCUCUUUGCUAACCGAGAUCAUUCGUAUUAUGGUAGUGGCACUUCAAAGUUCCAUGAAACCAAUCCUUUCUGCGAUGAUCACAUUACUGCCAAUGGAAGCAAUGCCAGCAAGCUGAGAUCUAAACCAUCUUUUACGCAAGACCAGAACCAGAACCCCUUCUGGGUCCCUGGACAUGGCUAUUGAUAACACCCAGGCACUGCUAUAUUCUGGGUAAUGUUCUAGGGGAGCAAUGGUCUAUGUUUACAGAUUAUGAAUUUUUAUUGAGAAAAUGCUUAUGGAUUCUGUAAGAGCUCGGCUAGCCAAGUAACUCAAACUCUAUGUUUGACUUGUAAAUUAGGCGAUGUAAUUUCUCCCUGUUGCUCUCCUAAAGUAACAGGGUUGGUAAUUUAUUCAAGUGCUUCCAUUUUGUGCAGAAUGUGUGUCAAGUAUUGCUGACUAGCUUGUUGAAAGAUUCUGCAUUCUCAAGGCUCUAAGUUAAAGAAAUGUCAAGGAUGCGUAAAAUAAACAUUGAUCCAAAUAUCUAAUAUUUCUUAAUCUCUGUACAAGAACAACAAAUCCGCAUCAUGAGGAUUGACUUGGAAAAUUCAGAUGCAAGUUAGCACUGAGCAUAAAUGAGUUAGUAUUUGCCCGUGGAGGAUAAAAAGUUGUAUAUGCGAAGGACCAUCAAUAUUUACAGAUUCAUAUGAACAAUUCAUAUCAAAUAGAAGAUAUCGAGUUAGAUACAGAGCGGUCAUUCAAACCUUCACGAACAUCUCCUCGACAAAGUGGACAAACUCUGUAAGAGAAGAAGGCAGCAGGAUAAGAAACCAUGAGUAUUGACUUUCAGCAUGAAACAAGGGAAAACAAAGGAUAAUGAUGAAAAUAUAAUCAGGGGAUGGCAAUAAGCAUACCCAUGUAUCUCUUUGAGCCACUUAUCCACACAUGACAUGUGAUACUCAUGGUGGCAAGGCAGAACUCGAAUUUUGUCCCCUUCCUCAUACUCAGCGAGGCAGAUGUAGCACCUGUCAAUUAUUAACUCACCAUGAUCAAACACUGACAGAUGCAUUAUGCACACUUGACAAAUAAUAAGAAAAAAAAUCAAAUAAAUAAAACUUACUGUUCAACAUCAUCCCCAUGCUUCAAUUUGUCAAGCUUACUGUGACUCUUCAGAGGAAAUGAGUCAACAACAGAUGCUGGGGCAGGGACUGAGACCAUAGACAGUGAAAGUGACACGGGUUGGCGAUGAAUUUCAUCCAAAACCUGCAAAUUGGACCAAAAAUUGUUACAAAAUUAUGUGACGGAGCUCCAUUGAUAUUAUUCAUUUGUAUCUCCAAAGUGCAGACAGAUUAAAAAAUGUAACGUUUGAAAGGAUGUUAAACUAAAUUCUUCGAACCCGGAAGCAUAUUCGAAAGGAUUAGCAGUAUAUAGAGAUGCUCUAAGCUAAUACAAAGUACAUAACCAAAAAGUAGAAAAACACAUGGACGUGUUCCCACAGAACAGAAGCCAGACUGGAAAGCAAUGCGGUAUGAUGAGAUUGUGAAUAGCACUUCCCUAAGAAUAUAAAUUUAUCAACUUGUAAGUUUAAUUAGUGCCAUGAAUGAUGACAUCCAGAUAUAGGUACUCUAUCAAUUGACAAUAAGUGCAGUGACAACAACACAUACAUAAAUGGCUUCAACUUCCACAAUGCCUGCUCGAAACAUGUGUCAUUCAUUUAACUAGGCCAGAAAUUUACAUACUGAGGUUAAUACGCACCAGCUGAAAUAUAUACCGAGCCAUUCAACAUAAAUUGGUGAAACCGUGAAAGAGAAACAAUCUUUAUAAAUGUUUUUCACUCAUUAGUCACCAACAGUGGCACAAUCUACCUAACCAGAUGCAUGCGACCAUAGAAGACUUGGCCUUUUGAAAUGAAAGCAGACCCAAGACAAAAGUAUUUGAAGCUUCAUUGUUAUAGCCCAAAACAUGCAAGCAGCUUUUGAACUAAUAUGCAUUAUCUCAAUCUCGAGGAAUAGGAGAAACUGAAGCCUGAGGACAGAAAAUUACCUCGAAUAGAGCUUCAGCAAGCAUCACAAUUCUCGAUAUACUUGCCCGAGCACUAGACUCUUCCGUCAUCAAGAAUGAACCACAUGAGCACAUGCCUCUGGGGUGAAUCCCUGUAGGACAAGUAGUAUUGCGGUGACCAUUACCAUCAAGGCCACCACGAAGCCUUUCCCAGACCUGAAAAGAGUGUGGAACAAAAGCAUAAAUAUAAUUAUUAGGUGGGGAGCAUAAGAACAAGCUGUUAGUUACUAUAUAUAGGAUUUUCUGCCCUAUAACAAGUGUGUUUUUUUUUGGGUGACAACAUCUAUAUUUAACACGUUGUAAAGUUAUAUAGAAGUACUAUUAGUGCAUGAUUACAUAACACAAUAUAUCACUAUAAUGUUAUACAUGAACAGACACCUACAUAUCAUUCCAUAUAACACAAGGUCCCUCAAGUCAAUGGAACCAAAGUAUCAAUUUUCAGAUCCAAGUUAACUCAGAUGAUUGAAACAAUAUCACAAGAGCCUUUUAAAGUUUUAGAAGAUCACCUCAGAUCUAGAGUGUCGGCGCCGUUCACUCAAGUUAGGAGUUCUAUUCACCUGGUGACCAGAAUCAGCUCCACUCCGUUCAUCAAGAAAAUCACCACUCAAACCAAGUAGCCAUCUGUCAUGAAAUCCUAGAUCCUCAGUGUCAUCAGUAGAGAAAAGUAUGGUUGGCGAAUCGAUAAACCUUCUCGAACUGCGUCUUGAAAAUGCAUCCCAAAAAAGACGCCUACCAUUCCUUCUGGACUCACGGUUACUUGUGUCACCAUUACUCCUGGACAAAAAGUUCGAAGAAAUGCUCAUGACAUCAACAUGAACUACACUUCCAUCUUCCCGGCUUUGUUCCCUGUUGGACAUAAGGAAUCCUAAGCCAGAAGGUAUUGCCUCCCGAAGGGUAUCAUUUCCGCGUGAGGGAAAAGGUAACGGUAUAUCAGAAACAUGAACAGAAUCAGCAUCAGCAUUAGUAUUAUGGACAGCCAUUACUUCAGCCACAUGAUUCUCAACGGACAUGUUAUCAGAAUGGGAAUUCCCAAUCGUUUGUGGAGACGAACUAUUUGGACGCAUAACCACAGGACGAGCCUGAGAUGCACUCUUGUCUGCGGAGCCAGUGACUGUAUCCAUGUUAGCCGAACUAUUCACAGAGACUCGGUGGGAAGAUUGUUGUUCUUUAAACGAAGUACUAGCUGCAGUACUAUUAUCCCUACUAGAUUCAUCAUGAUUACAACCAGCACUUACCGGAUGAGAAAUGAGCUCCUUACUCCUGGACAAGCACUUCCCUUGGUUACUUGUGCCAAAACUUCUUAAACCUUCUUCAAAGUAAGUACCCUGACCUUCCGGAGCAACGCUUUGAGAUGAGGAUCCAAUUUCAGUAUUGGGGAAGGUAAACCCUGCCCCUGUACUGGAGAUCAACGAAGACACGUCUGUGGAGUUCUGAACUGGAUUAUUACCCCGAUCACAAUGCUCUACGUGUCUCACCAGGCACUCAGCUUGAUGAUCUUCCAUCUACAGGAAAGCCACCUAAGCAUAUCAGUACCCAUCAUAAUAUAUAAUACCAACUACUCAACCCAUGCAACAAAACAUUACAACACUAGCAACAUUCUAAUCUAACACUUCUCCAACCAAUUUCAGGGCCUUCCCUCAAAAUGAUCGGUAUAACAUUGUUUCUUCUUCAUUCAUGAUCAUUAAACAAUUCUAAAGACCAUAGAACACAUAAUUCGAACAAUACAUUAGAUGAUUGACCUGAUGAUCAACAAAUGGCCCUAAUUGAACUAUUUCUCAUCAGCCACAGAUAUACAAAUUAGAUAUACAAAUUCACAGAUACAUGAUAAACACAAACUCAAAUUGACCAAGCAACAACAAAACCACCAAUCACAAAGUCACCACCAGCUCAUCAAAUUCAAGAAACAAACCCCAAAUUCAUCAUUGGGUUUCUGUACCACACCAAAAAGCACCGAUCUUUACACCAAACGACCAAAACCCAAAUCAUAUAACCCAUCAAAACCCAAUAAAAAUCGAAUCUUUGAUCCAAAUUUACACAAACAAAACGAAACCCAACAAGGAAAAAGGGGGUACCUCGAGAGUGGCACGUGAGGAAGAGCCGCCGCAGACGAGAGAGGAGAGGAUGGAGCGAUUGGGUCGGGGCCGAGAUGGGCGCGAACCCAGUCGACUAGAGCUCGAACCCAUUUCAAGAAGAAGAGGGUUGAGAAAUGAAGGGGAUGAUAAUUGAAGCAGAAAGGCAAGUGAGAAAGGAAGGAAGGGUCAGAGAAAGAGAGGUGUUUGUUUAUUUCAAAUUCGAUGGUUUUGUGGACUCUACCGUAUGAUUGAGGUAAAGAAAUGCCUUUUAAUUUUUCGGUGCUUCUAAUAAACAGUUGAGAACGACUGAGACAUUUUUGUGUGUUUACUAUUAUCUAAAAUUUUGAGUGACAUUGUAAAUAAUUGGUUUAAAUAGGUAGGGGAACGAGAUUGAGAUGAAAAGGGAGAGAUAGAAUGGGAGGUUGAAACCUAAAUUCAUGCUUAAGGAUUGACUUACUAUUAUUAGAAAUAAAAUCAAUCACUAGUUAAUGAGUGAUCAAGAAUUUAGGGGAACGAUGAAAUAUAACUUGAUAUCUAAGAAAAAUUGUUAUCUUGGUGGAAAUGGUGGCAUUGGGAUCUUGUUUCAAUGCUUGAACUUUAAGUAUACAUUUUUUUUUUAUGAAGUUACAUCUCAAAUAAGAUAUGGUUUUCCAUUUUGCAUUUCUUUUUUAUGAUGAUCUCUAAAUUUGGAGCUAAAAGCUUGUGAAAACAGAAUAUAGAGGCGAGUGGACAUGAAUGUUCAAAACCAACCAGAAACAUAGAAGUGUAUGUGCAAAAACGGCAAAGUCCUUAAUGUAAAAUUUUGAAAAUACAAGACUAAGAAAAAUGUUUCGUAAUAAGUUGGAAUGGAUCAUUAAAAAUUUUAAUGUGGGCUUGGCAAUGGGGAAUGGCUAGAACUAGAACAACACCCAAGCCUAAAAUAGUGGAUCUCUAACCCAAGCUCAAUCUGGCCCAAACCUUUAUGUUUUGGUGUUACCCAGGAUGCUCUUCACAAAAUGAUAAACCUCUGCACUCGAUCGGCAAAUCUAUCACUAAUCACAUUAAGGAACAAAGAGACAAACACAUCACAAUUUGGACCGGGAUUCUUACUCAUUUGGAGUCAUAUAUAUGCCUAAAAUACGAGAUCUAUUCCACUCAACCAUAAUAUAAGCAUGCAUAAAAGCUGCAGAUAAUGUAAAAGGAACGUGUCUGGUAUAUAUUCAAGUAACACUAGACGCCAUGAAAGUAAACUUCAAAUCACCAAGGUAAAGGACAAUGGUGGCCUGAAUGCCUGAUAGUUAUUUUUCUGGCAUUAUUGCUACAGUUCUCUGUCGAUCGGAAAGGGGAGUCUGUGGUACGUACCAUUGCCAUUUCAAAAAGCUUUUGUCAUUUUACUUUUCAGUUACAUCAUACCAAAGAUUACUUACCUUUAGAAAAUGCCACUGGUGGUUACUGUGGUGGUUGUGGUUACUGUCACUGGUGUAACUGGUAGAAAAUGCCACCUAGCGUAGCUAAGAGAUCGUGUUUAGUGGAACGGGCCGGUGGAUCAGAUAUCUACAGCAUUUGAUAUCUAAUGUAUCAUCAUGAUGUGUAUAAGUACGUUUUAAGCAAGUUUAUGAUGUGUAAAGAUCAACAAUGUACUGCAGAUCGAUCUGCCGACCAGACUUUCUCUCAUUUGCUAGAGAGUUCUAAUGAUAAACCUAACACUUGUAGGUGUGGUAAGAAUAUCAGAUCACUAACUGAAAGCGCCAUAGAUAUGAAUUGUAGGUAAAACCUAACAAGAACGAACACUGAUAGAUAUGACUAGCAGUUCUAAUAUUUUCAAGAUGAGGAGGACAGGUUUCCCUCGGCCAUUGGUUGCCCGGAUAUAUCACCAUACCUAGCUUCCAUCUUUUUGCCACGUAUUGCCGGCCCCCAUACGUACUCAACCCUAUAAAUCAAACCCUUACAUUUCAGAGUUGAAUCGUUUAAGAAAAAAUGCCAGACCAUCCACCACCACCACACGGCGGCCACGGUCACGCACCACCCCCAGGUCCGGGACACCACGAGCCUCCUCCGCCCCAUGGCCAUGCUCCUCCUCCGGGGCCUCAUGCACCUCCUCCGGGACCCCAUGCACCUCCUCCGGGACCCCAUGCACCUCCUCCGGAACCCCAUGCACCUCCUCCGGGACCCCAUGCACCUCCUCAUGAUCCACACAAGCCACAUGACUGUCACCACGGUCACCACCACCCAUGAACCGAACUAGUCAUGAGGCCACGAUCGAGAAGCUAGUCUCAGCAAGUUGUUAUCUAUUUAUCUUUGUGCCUGUAAUGUGAUCUAGCUGCGGUUGUAGUUCUGAGUUGCUGGGUUUACUGGCUUUGCUCCAUUGAUCUCAUCGUUAUGUAAUGACUAAAAUAUGAGGACUAUGUAUGUAUCCAAAAGAAGGCUGAUCAUAUAUGUAUAAUAAGAAGAGUACUGGCUUUGUGGUUUAUGUAUAAUCCGCUUGUGUAAAACUUCUUCUUUUAUCCGUCUAAAUGUGAUGUAUAAUCAGAAAAUAUGGCCAGUUUGUCAUCUUGACCAACCUGAACUUACAAACUAAUUAAUUAAGUCAAUCUCCCCAAUUUCAUCAAUCUUCAUUAGGAUUUCAUCACUAGCUCAUUCCUUCACAGAUAAUUAACCAUUUGCUCGAUUGCUCUUAACAAACUGUAAUAGCCAAGAGGCAAACGCAUCCAUCUAAAUUCUAAAAAGUUAUUAACACAGGCUAGGGGUAAAUUAUCCUUUGUUCAGACCAAUCUCACAGUUGAAGCGAUGAAUUGGCUAAAACAAAAGCCUACGGGCAGAAAAACAAAGCAUCUCUAUUCGUACGGAAGAAUGACUUCCAUAUAUAGUAAGCCUUAUAGUUAUAACACCGUAAGUGUAUAAGAAUAGGAAUUCAUAAACGCAAUAAGAAGAAGACCGUGAAAGAGAUCGAAGAUUAAAGCAGGCCUUAAUGUCUUGUAUAUUCUGUACAAAAUUUCAACAGCCAGAUUUUCUCGAUGCAUUCGUCAGCUUCUGUUUGUAACCUUUCUUCUGUCAAAUCCUCCAUGGCUUUUCACGAGCAAUAAUUCUUGCAAGGUCCCAUUAACAAGCCUCACGUACGUUGUUCUUAUCUCCUUUUCCUUAGCUCACCAAGAAUUCAACUAUUACCAAGUGCAGCAACUAGUUUCUGUGAUCGAUCUACGGAAAGUUAAAGUUAUUGCUCAAAAGAGAAAGAGAAAACGGAAGUUAAAGUUCCAUGCUGCCCUAGUUCAAGUACGCACUCAGUUAUGAUCUUGUGGUUCUUACAAUGGAUGAAUGGAUGAAGCAUUACCACACAAAUACUCAGAAGAGAAAAACAAAACAACCACAGUGCACGAUUAACAUGCUAGCUAGCUUUCAUUGUGUGCAAAUAUCCUGAGCUACCAUUCCACCAAAACAAGCUAAAUAAGUUUAUCCUUGUAUGGAUAUUAUGUGAAUCGAAAUAAUUGUAUAUUUGAUUCUUAGAUAUUAUGUGGCACCUAUUACAACGAAGCAUGUGCCAUAUUCUGAAGAUAAUGUCGACACAUCUGAAUCAUCUAGAGCCCGUACCGACACCUUUCUCCUAUAAAAUCAACUCCUACUAGCUUAAACUCUUCAACAGUUCGCCACAUCAAGAACAACUUUCUUUUUGUUUAUACAAGCUAGUAGUCUCACCAAGAAUUCGAAGAUGCAUCACGGUGAUCAUCACGGCGGACCACCACACCACGGAGGAGGUCCGGGAGGAGGUCCGGGAGGUCCAGGAGGCGGCCCUCAACAUGGUCAUGGUCAUCAAGGAGCUCCGGGAGGAGGGCAUGGAGGACCAGGAGGAGGAGGGCAUGGAGGGCAAGGAGGAGGAGGACACGGAGGACCAGGAGGAGGAGGACAUGGAGGAGGAGGAGGAGGAGGACGAGGGGGGAGGAGGAGGACAUGGAGGAGGAGGAGGAGGAGGACGAGGGAGGAGGAGGAGGAGGACAUGGAGGAGGAGGAGGACGACGGAGGGCAUGGUGGUCACUGAUCAUGGCGCUAGACUACGUAUACUACUUGUGGUGUACUAGCUGGCUGAAUAAGUCUCUCUAUGUGACUUCUGUAGUAUUGUUUGUGUGUUAUCAUUUCCUAGUUGGGUCGAUCAGAUCCUAGAUAGUGAAGCUAGCUAGGGGAGUCGAUCUUGUGUUUGGAGUCUGUUAAUUAAUGUAUGUGUAUGGAUGUGUAAUAAAACCAUACUAGCUAUGUAUUUGAUUCGAGGCUUAACAUAUAUUGCAUGCAGCUAUAUAUAUAUAUAUAUAUAUAAUAUCCUUAGAUGACUAAGAACAUAAGAAACAGAGCAGUACUAUUGAUGAUUUACAAGAUUCAAUUUGUAUAAGUGAUCUUUGGCUUGUCCUAAUUAACCAUCAAGCAAAGCGCUAAGAACGAACAUAUUAUAUAUACUGCCAGAUGAUCAAGCAACUUUGCAGAGGGAUCAUGACGAAAUGUCCAUCUAGCAGCUUAAAUGCUUAAUUAGAACAAUUUUGCAAAACAAACACAAACUUGUAUAAUACGGUACCGAAAAUAUAAGUAUAACCGUUUGAAAUGUCAAGUUUAUCAAUCUUAUGAAAUCGAAGUAUCGUAAAUCGAUAAUGAUCUUCUUCAAAACUAGAACGAGAAUGUAACGUGUCUAUAUGACACUAUAAAUGUCUACGAAAUCAUGCGUUAAGAACAUAAUAUUAUAUUCCUUCGUUUUUUACUAAAGAAUAUCAUUACCGUUAAGCUUUAAUUGACAUACGUACGAUUGUACUUUGUAGUGAUACAUCUAAUUAUAUUGGUCGUGUGGUGCCCUUAGUAUAUUAAAAGGAAAAAACUAAAGAGACCAAAAGGCCCAAAGGAAACCACAGAAAUUGUCAUAAAGGUACAAGUGCAGCCCAACUUUCNNNNNNNNNNNNNNNNNNNNNNNNNNNNNNNNNNNNNNNNNNNNNNNNNNNNNNNNNNNNNNNNNNNNNNNNNNNNNNNNNNNNNNNNNNNNNNNNNNNNNNNNNNNNNNNNNNNNNNNNNNNNNNNNNNNNNNNNNNNNNNNNNNNNNNNNNNNNNNNNNNNNNGUCCUGAUCAUCACCUUCCUUGCCUAUGCUUCCUUCCACGCCUCCAGGAAGCCCCCCAGCAUCGUCAAGAGUGUUCUUGGCCCCAAACUCCUGUCCAAUUCGAGCUCUUUCGACACCGGUUGGGCUCCCUUUAAUGGCCCUGAUGGCACUCACAGGCUUGGAGAACUUGAUCUUGCAUUUCUAUCUGCAUAUUCUAUUGGAAUGUAUUUUGCAGGGCAUGUUGGUGAUAGGAUUGAUUUGAGGUUGUUUCUUGCUUAUGGGAUGUUAGGGAGUGGAGUUUUGACUUGUCUUUUCGGGUUAGGUUAUUGGUGCAAUGUGCAUAUGUUGUGGUACUUUGUGGGUGUGCAAGUUGUGUGUGGGUUGUUUCAGUCAAUAGGGUGGCCUUCUGUUGUGGCAGUUGUGGGGAAUUGGUUUAGGGUUUAGACAGCGGCCAUCACACGCCGGCCACGGUCACGCACCACCCCCAGGUCCGGGACACCACGAGCCUCCUCCGCCCCAUGGCCAUGCUCCUCCUCCGGGGCCUCAUGCACCUCCUUCGGGACCCCAUACACCUCCUCCGGAACCCCAUGCACCUCCUCCGGGACCCCAUGCACCUCCUCAUGAUCCACACAAGCCACAUGACCCGCACCACGGUCACCACCACCCAUGAACCGAACUAGUCAUGAGGGAUCACGAAGCUAGCUAGUCUCAGCAAGUUGUUAUCUAUUUCUGCCUGUAAUGUGAUCUAGCUGCGCUUGUAGUUCUGAGUUGCUGGGUUUACUGGCUUUGCUCCAUUGAUCUCAUCGUUAUGUAAUGACUAAAAUAUGAUGACUAUGUAUGUAUCCAAAAGAAGGCUGAUCAUAUAUGUAUAAUAAGAAGAGUACUGGCUUUCUGGUUUAUGUAUAAUCCGCUUGUGUAAAACUUCUUCUCUGUUAUCGGUCUAAAUGUGAUGUAUGAUCAGAAAAUAUGGUCAGUUUGUCCUCUUGACCAACCUUAACUUACAAACUAAUUAAGUCAAUCUCCCCAAUUUCAUCAAUCUUUAUUAGGAUUUCAUCACUCAUUCCUUCACAGAUAAUUAACCACACAUCCAAGCUGCAUUUGCUCGAUUGCUCUUAACAAACUGUAAUAAUUAACCAAGAGGCAAACGCAUCCAUCUAAAGUCUAAAAAUUAAGUUAUUAACACAAGGUUAAAUUAUCCAUUGUUCAGACCAAUCUCACAGUUAGAGCGAUGAAUUGGCUAAAACAAAAACCUACGGGAG